CGAAAGCCUGACGGAGCAACGCCGCGUGAGGGAUGGAGGCCUUUGGGCUGUAAACCUCUUUUCUCAAGGAAGAAGAUCUGACGGUACUUGAGGAAUAAGCCACGGCUAAUUCCGUGCCAGCAGCCGCGGUAAUACGGGAGUGGCAAGCGUUAUCCGGAAUUAUUGGGCGUAAAGCGUCCGCAGGCGGCCGUUUAAGUCUGUUGUUAAAUCGUGGAGCUCAACUCCAUCACGGCAAUGGAAACUGUUCGGCUUGAGUAUGGUAGGGGCAGAGGGAAUUUCCGGUGUAGCGGUGAAAUGCGUAGAUAUCGGGAAGAACACCAGUGGCGAAAGCGCUCUGCUGGGCCAUUACUGACGCUCAUGGACGAAAGCCAGGGGAGCGAAAGGGAUUAGAUACCCCUGUAGUCCUGGCCGUAAACGAUGAACACUAGAUGUUGGGGGAAUCGACCCCCUCGGUGUCGUAGCUAACGCGUUAAGUGUUCCGCCUGGGGAGUACGCACGCAAGUGUGAAACUCAAAGGAAUUGACGGGGGCCCGCACAAGCGGCGGAGUAUGUGGUUUAAUUCGAUGCAACGCGAAGAACCUUACCAAGGCUUGACAUCCUGCGAAUCUCUAAGAAAUUAGAGAGUGCCUUCGGGAACGCAGUGACAGGUGGUGCAUGGCUGUCGUCAGCUCGUGUCGUGAGAUGUUGGGUUAAGUCCCGCAACGAGCGCAACCCACGUUUUUAGUUGCCAGCAUUCAGUUGGGCACUCUAGAGAGACUGCCGGUGACAAACCGGAGGAAGGUGUGGACGACGUCAAGUCAUCAUGCCCCUUACGCCUUGGGCUACACACGUACUACAAUGCUGCGGACAAAGAGUAGCGAUCUUGCGAAAGUUAGCUAAUCUCAUAAACCGUGGCUCAGUUCAGAUCGUAGGCUGCAACUCGCCUACGUGAAGGAGGAAUCGCUAGUAAUCGCAGGUCAGCAUACUGCGGUGAAUACGUUCCCGGGCCUUGUACACACCGCCCGUCACACCAUGGAAGUUGGCCAUGCCCGAAGUCGUUACUCUAACCUUUUGGAAGAGGGCGCCGAAGGCAGGGCUAAUGACUGGGGUGAAGUCGUAACAAGGUAGCCGUAGCGGAAGCUGCGGCUGGAUCACCUCCUAA
Molecule: ribosomal RNA, 1141 nt
Filed under: Candidatus Synechococcus spongiarum
Lineage: Bacteria; Bacillati; Cyanobacteriota; Cyanophyceae; Synechococcales; Synechococcaceae
Description: bacterial SSU rRNA
Rfam family: Bacterial small subunit ribosomal RNA
Source: RNAcentral